AGUGGCGGACGGGUGAGUAACGCGUGAGAAUCUGCCUUGGGGUCGGGGACAACCACUGGAAACGGUGGCUAAUACCGGAUAAGCCGAUUGGUGAAAGAUUUAUUGCCCGAAGAGGAGCUCGCGUCUGAUUAGCUAGUUGGUGAGGUAAGAGCUCACCAAGGCAGCGAUCAGUAGCUGGUCUGAGAGGACGAUCAGCCACACUGGGACUGAGACACGGCCCAGACUCCUACGGGAGGCAGCAGUGGGGAAUUUUCCGCAAUGGGCGAAAGCCUGACGGAGCAAGACCGCGUGAGGGAGGAAGGCUCUUGGGUUGUAAACCUCUUUUCUCAGGGAAGAAGCUCUGACGGUACCUGAGGAAUCAGCCUCGGCUAACUCCGUGCCAGCAGCCGCGGUAAUACGGAGGAGGCAAGCGUUAUCCGGAAUUAUUGGGCGUAAAGCGUCCGCAGGUGGCGAUUCAAGUCUGCUGUCAAAGCACGGGGCUUAACUCCGUAAAGGCAGUGGAAACUGAAUAGCUAGAGUGCCGUAGGGGUAGAGGGAAUUCCCGGUGUAGCGGUGAAAUGCGUAGAGAUCGGGAAGAACAUCAGUGGCGAAAGCGCUCUACUGGACGGCAACUGACACUCAGGGACGAAAGCUAGGGGAGCGAAUGGGAUUAGAUACCCC
This 660-nucleotide ribosomal RNA is filed under the name uncultured bacterium. RNAcentral's name for it is "bacterial SSU rRNA". It matches the Rfam family "Bacterial small subunit ribosomal RNA", at positions 94 to 788 of the family's 1533-position model. The record is from RNAcentral.